GCCCGAUUAGCUCAGCUGGUUAGAGCGUCGUACUAAUAUCUGCCUUCUGGCAAAUAUAUGGUAUGCGAAGGUCAACAGUUCAAUCCUGUUAUUGGGCA
Molecule: transfer RNA, 98 nt
Rfam family: tRNA
About the family: Transfer RNA (tRNA) molecules are approximately 80 nucleotides in length. Their secondary structure includes four short double-helical elements and three loops (D, anti-codon, and T loops). Further hydrogen bonds mediate the characteristic L-shaped molecular structure. tRNAs have two regions of fundamental functional importance: the anti-codon, which is responsible for specific mRNA codon recognition, and the 3' end, to which the tRNAs corresponding amino acid is attached (by aminoacyl-tRNA synthetases). tRNAs cope with the degeneracy of the genetic code in two manners: having more than one tRNA (with a specific anti-codon) for a particular amino acid; and 'wobble' base-pairing, i.e. permitting non-standard base-pairing at the 3rd anti-codon position.